GAUGAACGCUGGCGGCGUGCCUAAUACAUGCAAGUCGAGCGAACAGAUGAGGAGCUUGCUCCUCUGACGUUAGCGGCGGACGGGUGAGUAACACGUGGAUAACCUACCUAUAAGACUGGGAUAACUUCGGGAAACCGGAGCUAAUACCGGAUAAUAUAUUGAACCGCAUGGUUCAAUAGUGAAAGACGGUUUUGCUGUCACUUAUAGAUGGAUCCGCGGCGCAUUAGCUAGUUGGUAAGGUAACGGCUUACCAAGGCAACGAUGCGUAGCCGACCUGAGAGGGUGAUCGGCCACACUGAAACUGAGACACGGUCCAGACUCCUACGGGAGGCAGCAGUAGGGAAUCUUCCGCAAUGGGCGAAAGCCUGACGGAGCAACGCCGCGUGAGUGAUGAAGGUCUUCGGAUCGUAAAACUCUGUUAUUAGGGAAGAACAAAUGUGUAAGUAACUAUGCACGUCUUGACGGUACCUAAUCAGAAAGCCACGGCUAACUACGUG
Molecule: ribosomal RNA, 497 nt
Filed under: uncultured bacterium
Lineage: Bacteria
Description: partial 16S ribosomal RNA
Rfam family: Bacterial small subunit ribosomal RNA
Source: RNAcentral